AUGAACGCUGGCGGCGUGCCUAAUACAUGCAAGUCGAGCGAACGGACGAGAAGCUUGCUUCUCUGAUGUUAGCGGCGGACGGGUGAGUAACACGUGGAUAACCUACCUAUAAGACUGGGAUAACUUCGGGAAACCGGAGCUAAUACCGGACAAUAUUUUGAACCGCAUGGUUCAAAAGUGAAAGACGGUCUUGCUGUCACUUAUAGAUGGAUCCGCGCUGCAUUAGCUAGUUGGUAAGGUAACGGCUUACCAAGGCAACGAUGCAUAGCCGACCUGAGAGGGUGAUCGGCCACACUGGAACUGAGACACGGUCCAGACUCCAACGGGAGGCAGCAGUAGGGAAUCUUCCGCAAUGGGCGAAAGCCUGACGGAGCAACGCCGCGGGAGUGAUGAAGGUCUUCGGAUCGUAAAACGCUGUUAUUAGGGAAGAACAUAUGUGUAAGUAACUGUGCACAUCCUGACGGUACCUAAUCAGAAAGCCACGGCUAACUACGUG
Molecule: ribosomal RNA, 496 nt
Filed under: uncultured bacterium
Lineage: Bacteria
Description: partial 16S ribosomal RNA
Rfam family: Bacterial small subunit ribosomal RNA
Source: RNAcentral